RNAcentral lists this transfer RNA (73 nucleotides) under Peptococcaceae bacterium SCADC1_2_3. It matches the Rfam family "tRNA". Rfam says of the family: Transfer RNA (tRNA) molecules are approximately 80 nucleotides in length. Their secondary structure includes four short double-helical elements and three loops (D, anti-codon, and T loops). The record is from Rfam by way of RNAcentral. Lineage: Bacteria; Bacillati; Bacillota; Clostridia; Eubacteriales; Peptococcaceae.
GGGCGUGUAGCUCAGUUGGGAGAGUGUCUGGUUCGCAUCCAGAAGGUCGUGGGUUCGAGUCCCAUCACGUCCA